This 497-nucleotide ribosomal RNA is filed under the name uncultured bacterium. RNAcentral describes it as "partial 16S ribosomal RNA". It matches the Rfam family "Bacterial small subunit ribosomal RNA", at positions 28 to 507 of the family's 1533-position model. The record is from RNAcentral.
GAUGAACGCUGGCGGCGUGCCUAAUACAUGCGAGUCGAGCGAACAGACGAGGAGCUUGCUCCUUUGACGUUAGCGGCGGACGGGUGAGUAACACGUGGAUAACCUACCUAUAAGACUGGGAUAACUUCGGGAAACCGGAGCUAAUACCGGAUAACAUGUUGAACCGCAUGGUUCAACAGUGAAAGACGGUUUUGCUGUCACUUAUAGAUGGAUCCGCGCCGCAUUAGCUAGUUGGUAAGGUAACGGCUUACCAAGGCAACGAUGCGUAGCCGACCUGAGAGGGUGAUCGGCCACACUGGAACUGAGACACGGUCCAGACUCCUACGGGAGGCAGCAGUAGGGAAUCUUCCGCAAUGGGCGAAAGCCUGACGGAGCAACGCCGCGUGAGUGAAGAAGGUCUUCGGAUCGUAAAACUCUGUUAUUAGGGAAGAACAAAUGUGUAAGUAACUAUGCACGUCUUGACGGUACCUAAUCAGAAAGCCACGGCUAACUACGUG